This 387-nucleotide ribosomal RNA is filed under the name Aplanochytrium sp. Its description in RNAcentral is "partial small subunit ribosomal RNA". It matches the Rfam family "Eukaryotic small subunit ribosomal RNA", at positions 587 to 975 of the family's 1831-position model. Lineage: Eukaryota; Bigyra; Thraustochytrida; Thraustochytriidae. The record is from RNAcentral.
AGCUCCAAUAGCGUAUAUUAAAGUUGUUGCAGUUAAAAAGCUCGUAGUUGGAUUUCUGGUAGGAGUGACCGUGCCGGACUUGAUUGUCCGUGUAUUGUGUUGUCUCCAGCCAUCCUCGUGGAGAACUUUUCUAACAUUAAUUUGUUGGGAUUGGGACCCACGUCGUUUACUGUGAAAAAAUUAGAGUGUUUAAAGCAGGCAAUCGCUUGAAUACAUUAGCAUGGAAUAAUAAGAUAGGACUUUGGUACUAUUUUGUUGGUUUGCAUACCAAAUUAAUGAUCAACAGGAACAGUUUGAGGAUAUUCGUAUGAACAUGUCAGAGGUGAAAUUCUUGGAUUUUGAUCAGACGAACUACUGCGAAAGCAUUUAUCAAGGAUGUUUUCAUUA